AGGGAGAGGGGGUGGGGAAGAGCGCUAGCAGCGGCAGCGAGCGGUCCGUCUCGCACGCGCGGGCACCGCGCUGGUCCUGGGCUGCAGGUUUUCCCAGAUGAUGGCAUCCGAGAACUUAAACAAAGAAGGCCGCCGCCGGCGCGCGGCGGCUGCAGAAAGUUGCGGUGGCGGAUUUCCAAGGAGCGUGGCCACGACCCGAGCUCUUGGUGAGGCGAGCCCCCCCUUCCCACCCCCGCCGAGACGAGGAUGGGGGCCGGCUGGUGAAGGGAAGAGGAAACUUUGAAACCACUGGGGACACAUCUGUCUAUAGGUAUUAUCUUGAAUGGUACAUCCAUGCCGCGCGCUU
Molecule: long non-coding RNA, 346 nt
Filed under: Marmota monax (woodchuck)
Lineage: Eukaryota; Metazoa; Chordata; Mammalia; Rodentia; Sciuridae
Source: RNAcentral